CCUACGGGAGGCAGCAGUGAGGAAUAUUGGUCAAUGGGCGCUAGCCUGAACCAGCCAAGCAGCGUGAAGGAUGACUGCCCUAUGGGUUGUAAACUUCUUUUAUAUGGGAAUAAAGUGCAGUAUGUAUACUGCUUUGCAUGUACCUUAUGAAUAAGGAUCGGCUAACUCCGUGCCAGCAGCCGCGGUAAUACGGAGGAUCCGAGCGUUAUCCGGAUUUAUUGGGUUUAAAGGGUGCGUAGGCGGGUUGUUAAGUCAGUUGUGAAAGUUUGCGGCUCAACCGUGAAAUUGCAGUUGAUACUGGCAGCCUUGAGUGCAGUAGAGGUAGGCGGAAUUCGUGGUGUAGCGGUGAAAUGCUUAGAUAUCACGAAGAACUCCGAUUGCGAAGGCAGCCUGCUGGACUGUAACUGACGCUGAUGCUCGAAAGUGUGGGUAUCAAACAGGAUUAGAUACCCGUGUAGUC
This 460-nucleotide ribosomal RNA is filed under the name uncultured bacterium. RNAcentral describes it as "partial 16S ribosomal RNA". It matches the Rfam family "Bacterial small subunit ribosomal RNA", at positions 338 to 795 of the family's 1533-position model. The record is from RNAcentral.